Molecule: long non-coding RNA, 3044 nt
Filed under: Apis mellifera (honey bee)
Lineage: Eukaryota; Metazoa; Arthropoda; Insecta; Hymenoptera; Apidae
Description: uncharacterized LOC107964028
Source: RNAcentral
AUUCGUAUAGAUUACGGACGAAUAUCACAGCGGUGAUCAAAUAAAAUUAGUGAUUUUCGUGGGAUAGUGGGAUACUGGGUCGGUGACUCUAGUUACGUGCGUAUUAAAACUACGACAGCGAGAUGAAUAUUUUCUUCCAAAAAUCAAUCCAUUCGUACGUGCAUACGAUGCAUGUUAUACGAUACGUUAACUGAAUAAUUGAUAAUUGCGAAAAUUAUUCGAAACGUAUUAAAUUCUCGACACGUAUGUCCGUUGUUUCGACGACUGUUGUUCAUCGAUGUGCAACACAUACGAGUGCAAAUUCGAUUUCUUUAUCAUUUGUGCAACGUGUGCGACGCCAUUACAUUUGUGAAAAAAAGUGGCGCCAAAUUAAUCACGAUAGUGAAAUCAAAAUGUCCACUCUAACGAUAAAUAAAACACAAUUUUUCAAAUGUAAUGAAAAUUUAAUGGAAAUAUGUUCGGAUCGUUAAAUAUGUUGCCGGUCGUCAAUUUGUUUUGUCAGAUUGCUCGAAAAGAUAAAAGCUUUAACCAACAAGCUUAUCUAACGACACGACAAACAAACAAAGAGACAAAUUACGGUAGUAAAAUCGAGUUCCGAUAAUAAUUGCGAAACGAUCGAAACGAGGAUAUAUAUAUAUAUAGAAGGACCUGUGGGACUCGGAAUCGGAUGGACUGAAUUUCAUCCCGGUGUUCCCUUAACUGUAUCCAAACGACGAAGAAGAACAAACUCGACGACGUCGAGGGUCUCCUUCCCGUUCUUUCGCCGGCCAGCUGGUAAACAGUGUUUCCAAGCCGAACGGGUAAAUCAAGGAAUCGUUCGUCUCCCGAUUACCCGGGACGCGCCCGUUUUUCCCACCUGGCUUACUUACCUUUUUUUUUUUUUUCACCAUCUUCGUUCCGUCGGCCACGUCGCCGCCGCGAACCUCUCCUCGCCGGGGACAAUUUCUUCGUCGCUUUUCAGCUUUCUCCUUACGGGAAUUUGCCGGGGAAUAAUGGUGAGUAACUGUACAAAGACCAAGCGGACCGAUAUAUACCGCGUAUUCGUAUAAACAAAAUUAAAUAUCCGACUUUCUAAUUAACGACACGUCUACACGGGACAAUGACGCCUGUUGUAAUUUUAUAAUUUAUAAAACUGAUGAGCUUUUACGAAUCUCGCGAAAGUCUUUUGUUCGCGAGAUCGUUUCAAAAAAUUCACUCUCCCCGGAACGGAAUGGGCGCUCGUUUAAAAACGAGAGAUAAAAUCACACGGAGUCGGUUAGUCUCGUUCGGCCAUUCCGGUAAUUGACGAGUUCGCGAGCCAAUCGAAAGAGGGCUCCAGGAGAAGAGGAGCUAGAGUUAGAAUCGUAACCGUGUAACCGUAAACCGUCCACGGUUUAAUUAUAUCGUCUUCUCUCUCUCGCUCUCGCAACCGAAUUUUGUUCAUCCGUGAAAAAGAGGCGCGCGCGCGCGCGCGCCGACUUAUCGAAUUUCUUCCAACGUUGUCAACGUUUCGGCCCGUGGCCAACAGGUUGCGCCAAGAGUUGAUCCCGAGACAAAGAUCGGGUUUCCUCACCGCCUGCGGGAAUAUCGUGUUCCUCUCGUCACGGGGGUGGCGUUUCGUACCGGAAACGGAAGCGAACCGUGCUUCCACGCGAGAUAUUCUCUCUUCCUCGAAUAUAUACGAAAAAAAAAUAUACGCAAUAAAUUAAUUAUUUCUCGAAUAAUCGCAAACUUGUCACGAUUGAAGGUUAAAGAGAAAGAGAGACGAAAUUGGGAGGGGGGAAGAAAAGUGACGGAUGGAAAGAAGAAAACGCGUGUUACGAUAUCGUAACCGUCAAAUUAUUAUUACUCUCUUACAAUAUCUGUCUCUUUUUUUUUUAAUGUUUCUCCUUGAGCUAUAAACCGUCAUUUCGUGUUUGUACAUGAAAAUAGUCCAAAAAAGUCAAAAGCACUGUUCGACGCGCUUAGCUUCUUCUUCUUCUUCUUCUUCUUCUUCUCUGUUCUCGCGCGAUUUAAUUAAUCGGGUUUUUUUAAAAAAUCGCAGUUUUUAUCUAAGUUUAUAUUAUCUUAUACUCCUCUCCUCUCCUUACCCCCCCCUCUACGCGUAUUGUUUCUCAUUUUUUUUUCUUUUUUUUAAUUUUAUUCUCUCCUCCUCUCGGGUAGCAGUAGUAGUAAUAGUAAUAGUAGUAGUAGUAGUAAUAGUAGUAAUAGCAGUAGCGGUACCACUAUAUCUGUAUAAGUGUGGAUUAGAAUGAACACCGGCGGUGCUUUUUCGACGAUCGCUCACGACAGGAUCGGUAACAACGCGCAUCGUGAAGCGCGAGACAUUGAGCUCUUUUAUCCCCUUCUUCCUUCCUUUCUUUCUUUUUUUUUUAUUUUUAUUUUUGGCAGUGCGAAGCGAACUCUCCUCGAUUUUUUCUCUCCUUUUUUCAAAUCGUUAAUCGGCUCGUCAGUCGCGAAGAAAAAACACGAAUUUGCGACAACGAAGUGGCAACCGAUCGUCCCAAAAAUUUAAUUCCUCGUCUCGUUUAUCGUUGCAUCUCGCUCGUGUACACGCGAUAACAAGUAGGUACAUCUUUCUUCACACAAUUCUAUCGGGGACAAUUUAUUGCCACUUGGUCGGAAAAAUUGUGUGUCGUUCAAAGAAACGAUCGGCUCGAUAAAACGGUUAAAGUAAAAAAAAAAAAAGGCGAUCGGAGCAGGCUUUCCAGUUUUCGAAGGUUGAAAGACAGCGGUGCCGAUUCCUCUAUCGAUCGAUCACAUCUCAACGUUUUUAAACUUUAUACAUAUACGUGUAUAUGUAUAUAAAUGUAUAUAUAUUUAUAAUAUGUAUUUAUAUGUAUAUAUAUGUGUGUGUGUGUGUUUUUAUUAUCCGAUUUAUCUCGUUCUCUUUUUUUGCUCGCCUUUACGACGGAGAAGAAAAUGGCGGCUCGUUACGUUCGGUGGAACGUAAGAGGCGAAGCUCGGCCGAGAGGGAAGGAACGCGUGGAACGUGUGGUCGUACGAUCGAUAAUCGGCACGAGGCUCGAACGUCGGGGAACAAUGGAAAAUUUGACGAAAGGAUA